Molecule: ribosomal RNA, 560 nt
Filed under: Parathielavia kuwaitensis
Lineage: Eukaryota; Fungi; Ascomycota; Sordariomycetes; Sordariales; Chaetomiaceae
Description: partial 28S ribosomal RNA
Rfam family: Eukaryotic large subunit ribosomal RNA
Source: RNAcentral
GCAUAUCAAUAAGCGGAGGAAAAGAAACCAACAGGGAUUGCCCCAGUAACGGCGAGUGAAGCGGCAACAGCUCAAAUUUGAAAUCUGGCCUCGGCCCGAGUUGUAAUUUGCAGAGGAAGCUUUAGGCGCGGCCCCAACUGAGUCCCCUGGAACGGGGCGCCACAGAGGGUGAGAGCCCCGUAUAGUUGGACGCCUAGCCUGUGUAAAGCUCCUUCGACGAGUCGAGUAGUUUGGGAAUGCUGCUCAAAAUGGGAGGUAAAUUUCUUCUAAAGCUAAAUACCGGCCAGAGACCGAUAGCGCACAAGUAGAGUGAUCGAAAGAUGAAAAGCACUUUGAAAAGAGGGUUAAAUAGCACGUGAAAUUGUUGAAAGGGAAGCGCUUGUGACCAGACUUGCGCCGGGCUGAUCAUCCGGUGUUCUCACCGGUGCACUCUGCCCGGCUCAGGCCAGCAUCGGUUCUCGCGGGGGGACAAAGGCUCCGGGAACGUAGCUCCUCCGGGAGUGUUAUAGCCCGGGGCGCAAUGCCCCCGCGGGGACCGAGGACCGCGCUCUGCAAGGAUG